Molecule: ribosomal RNA, 253 nt
Filed under: uncultured bacterium
Lineage: Bacteria
Description: partial 16S ribosomal RNA
Rfam family: Bacterial small subunit ribosomal RNA
Source: RNAcentral
UACGAAGGGGGCUAGCGUUGCUCGGAAUCACUGGGCGUAAAGCGCACGUAGGCGGCUUCUUAAGUCAGGGGUGAAAUCCCGGGGCUCAACCUCGGAACUGCCUUUGAUACAGCACGUCUCGAGUCCGGAAGAGGUGGGUGGAAUUCCUAGUGUAGCGGUGAAAUGCGUAGAUAUUGGGAGGAACACCAGUGGCGAAGGCGGCUCACUGGACCGGAACUGACGCUGAGGCGCGAAAGCGUGGGGAGCAAACAGG